Long non-coding RNA from Selaginella moellendorffii, 222 nucleotides. RefSeq lists it as uncharacterized. The transcript is spliced from 3 exons. Lineage: Eukaryota; Viridiplantae; Streptophyta; Lycopodiopsida; Selaginellales; Selaginellaceae. The record is from RefSeq and is a predicted model, not a curated record.
AACACGGAUCCUGCCAGAAUUUAAAUAAAUAUGUAAAUCAAGAGAGGAGGCAGCAAGAAGAGCAAGUACAAUGAAAUUGAUCCUCAAGCUCGUUCUUGUUUGCAUUUUGUCAGCUGCUACUGCAGUGGAAAUGGCUAGAUUGGGAAUUGAAACAUCACAAUGUCUGGAGUGCACGCCACCAGCUCAUAUUGAAACAGCACAAUGCCCGGAGUGCAGGCCACC